AGUCGUGUGGUAAAUACAAAGCGAACUAUUCUUUCGCCUUUUACUAAAGAAUACCGUGUAUUUGCCACUUUAAGCGGCAUACGCCAAUUUUUUAGCAAGGGUCUUCUUACGAGGACCC
This is a non-coding RNA of Glycine soja, 118 nucleotides long. The record is from Rfam. NCBI's taxonomy places the organism in Eukaryota, Viridiplantae, Streptophyta, Magnoliopsida, Fabales, Fabaceae.